CAGUCGCCGCGGGAAUACGUAGGGUCCGAGCGUUGUCCGGAAUUAUUGGGCGUAAAGGGCUCGUAGGCGGUUUGUUGCGUCGGGAGUGAAAACCAGGUGCUUAACACCUGGCCUGCUUUCGAUACGGGCAGACUAGAGGCAUUCAGGGGAGAACGGAAUUCCUGGCGUAGCGGUGAAAUGCGCAGAUAUCAGGAGGAACACCGGUGGCGAAGGCGGUUCUCUGGGAAUGUUCUGACGCUGAGGAGCGAAAGUGUGGGGAGCGAACAGAAUUAGAUACCCGAGUAGUCCCUGUCUCUUAUAC
RNAcentral lists this ribosomal RNA (301 nucleotides) under uncultured bacterium. RNAcentral's name for it is "partial 16S ribosomal RNA". It matches the Rfam family "Bacterial small subunit ribosomal RNA", at positions 509 to 807 of the family's 1533-position model. The record is from RNAcentral.